CGCAGCGGUAGUUCAGUCGGUUAGAAUACCGGCCUGUCACGCCGGGGGUCGCGGGUUCGAGUCCCGUCCGCUGCGCCAU
This 79-nucleotide transfer RNA is filed under the name Pseudomonas paraeruginosa PA7. Its description in RNAcentral is "tRNA-Asp". It matches the Rfam family "tRNA". Rfam says of the family: Transfer RNA (tRNA) molecules are approximately 80 nucleotides in length. Their secondary structure includes four short double-helical elements and three loops (D, anti-codon, and T loops). Lineage: Bacteria; Pseudomonadati; Pseudomonadota; Gammaproteobacteria; Pseudomonadales; Pseudomonadaceae. RNAcentral also lists the same sequence under 3 other names. The record is from RNAcentral.